AUUGAACGCUGGCGGAAUGCUUUACACAUGCAAGUCGAACGGUAGAGGGGGCAACCCCUCGAGAGUGGCGAACGGGUGAGUAAUAUAUCGGAACGUGCCCAGUCGUGGGGGAUAACGUAGCGAACGUUACGCUAAUACCGCAUACGAUCUAAGGAUGAAAGCGGGGGAUCGCAAGACCUCGCGCGAUUGGAGCGGCCGAUAUCAGAUUAGGUAGGUGGUGGGGUAAAGGCUCACCAAGCCAACGAUCUGUAGCUGGUCUGAGAGGACGACCAGCCACACUGGAACUGAGACACGGUCCAGACUCCUACGGGAGGCGGCAGUGGGGAAUUUUGGACAAUGGACGCAAGUCUGAUCCAGCCAUUCCGCGUGCAGGAUGAAGACCCUCGGGUUGUAAACUGCUUUUGUACGGAACGAAAAGGUCUCUCUUAAUACGGGGGGCUCAUGACGGUACCGUAGAAUAAGCACCGGCUAACUACGUGCCAGCAGCCGCAGUAA
Molecule: ribosomal RNA, 495 nt
Filed under: uncultured bacterium
Lineage: Bacteria
Description: partial 16S ribosomal RNA
Rfam family: Bacterial small subunit ribosomal RNA
Source: RNAcentral